Long non-coding RNA from Rosa chinensis, 1282 nucleotides. RefSeq lists it as uncharacterized. NCBI's taxonomy places the organism in Eukaryota, Viridiplantae, Streptophyta, Magnoliopsida, Rosales, Rosaceae. The transcript is spliced from 2 exons. The record is from RefSeq and is a predicted model, not a curated record.
UCUGUUUUCGGGCUUUUCGGGCCCAAAAUUGAGUUUUCCAUCUCUCAGUCCAGUAAUAUGCAAAAUAUCACAAAAUUCGGUAGGAGGCGAGGUUUGAACCCCCGACCUCCUACACGAAAGGUUUACUCCCAACCACCGGAGCAGGAGACUCUCUUGAUACUAUAUGUGCAAAAUUUAUAUUUAUUCCAUCCUUGGAAACUUUUCUUGGUGGUGGAGACAACUUUUCUUGGUGGGAGACAACUUUUGUCCUUUCUUUUCUUUUCUUUUUCUCCUUUGCACCCGGUCCUUUCUCUUAUUCUUGGUAGCUGCAGCAGCUUUUCUUUUCUUUAAUGCUUGGGAAAAUGGGAAGUGAGGCAGCAACAACGUGGAGACAGAGAUGAGAUCGGGUUUCGAUGUGGGCAAAACGGCGAGCCUUCUCAUUUUCAGCUUCAAUACUCCUCGUUGUGGCGAUGAGCUAGGGAGCUGCCUUAGGCCGAUUUGUAACGAGUUGGUGAUUUGCCCUGGAUGGGUUGCUAAAUAUGCAGGUCCAGUCGACGAUCUGAGGUGGCUUCUUUGAGCGGGAGGAGGAGGAUUCUAGAAAUCCAAGAGGUCAGCUUUGGUCUAUGGAGGUUUAGGAGGAGGAGGAGCUGGCUUGGGAGGAGAGUGAGAGAGGCUGAGAUGGUUUCGCUAAGAUGGAGGAGAAAUCGGGUCGGGUCGGGCUUUCGGUCUCCAAAUAUUUGAAGCCCGAGACCGAACCGAAAAUAUACAUUCGGGUCGGGCUUCGCACCGAAUCGAGAUUUUCCAUACUAAAACCAAACCGAAUCGGGCUUUUUUGCUCGGUUCGGGUCGGGUCUUCGGUCUUUGGGGUCCGGACGCCCACCCCUAGCCAAGACUCUGGCACUCUUUAAUCUCAAUCAAAUCUUUUUUCUUUUUUUUUCCUUCUUGGUUUUUUUUCUGUUUCUACUCACCAUUAAUUCAAGCUUCCGAACUAUGUCUUCAAGGGCUUCAAUUCAUCAUCAUAAGCAACCGAACCCAGCCUUUAAACUUUGAAGGCGAAAUUUGACGGAAUCGAACAUAUUUUGUAUUACCAAUUGAUACUUGGAAACUAGAAAGAUGACUGAAAUGAUUGAAUUUCUUAAUUCUUUCUUUUUACAAUCCCUGAACAACUAUUGAGUUCCUGACCAGCCCAAUGCUUAUAAAUUCAAAACUGACUAAAAUAGAGAAGUGGCUAGCCAAAAUAGCUUUUCAGCUACUUUAGCUAAAAUUUGACAAAAAAAAAAAAACUAGCAUUGCUUUAUGUGGU